GGCCGGAUAAGGCGUUUACGCCGCAUCCGGCAAUGGUGCCAAAUACCUGAUGCGACGCUCGCCGCAUCUUAUCAGGCC
Molecule: non-coding RNA, 78 nt
Filed under: Escherichia marmotae
Lineage: Bacteria; Pseudomonadati; Pseudomonadota; Gammaproteobacteria; Enterobacterales; Enterobacteriaceae
Description: Nucleoid-associated noncoding RNA 4 (CssrE)
Rfam family: Nucleoid-associated noncoding RNA 4 (CssrE)
About the family: In E. coli small RNA transcribed from repeated extragenic palindromic element (REP325) called nucleoid-associated ncRNA 4 (nRNA4) collaborates HU protein in condensing the DNA.
Source: RNAcentral